CCAGUUAGCUCAGUUGGUAGAGCAGCGGACUGAAAAUCCGCGUGUCCGUGGUUCGAUUCCGC
RNAcentral lists this transfer RNA (62 nucleotides) under human gut metagenome. It matches the Rfam family "tRNA", at positions 8 to 62 of the family's 71-position model. Rfam says of the family: Transfer RNA (tRNA) molecules are approximately 80 nucleotides in length. Their secondary structure includes four short double-helical elements and three loops (D, anti-codon, and T loops). Further hydrogen bonds mediate the characteristic L-shaped molecular structure. tRNAs have two regions of fundamental functional importance: the anti-codon, which is responsible for specific mRNA codon recognition, and the 3' end, to which the tRNAs corresponding amino acid is attached (by aminoacyl-tRNA synthetases). tRNAs cope with the degeneracy of the genetic code in two manners: having more than one tRNA (with a specific anti-codon) for a particular amino acid; and 'wobble' base-pairing, i.e. permitting non-standard base-pairing at the 3rd anti-codon position. The record is from RNAcentral.